AUUGAACGCUGGCGGCAGGCCUAACACAUGCAAGUCGAGCGGAUGAAGGGAGCUUGCUCCUGGAUUCAGCGGCGGACGGGUGAGUAAUGCCUAGGAAUCUGCCUGGUAGUGGGGGAUAACGUCCGGAAACGGGCGCUAAUAUCGCAUACGUCCUGAGGGAGAAAGUGGGGGAUCUUCGGACCUCACGCUAUCAGAUGAGCCUAGGUCGGAUUAGCUAGUUGGUGGGGUAAAGGCCUACCAAGGCGACGAUCCGUAACUGGUCUGAGAGGAUGAUCAGUCACACUGGAACUGAGACACGGUCCAGACUCCUACGGGAGGCAGCAGUGGGGAAUAUUGGACAAUGGGCGAAAGCCUGAUCCAGCCAUGCCGCAUGUGUGAAGAAGGUCUUCGGAUUGUAAAGCACUUUAAGUUGGGAGGAAGGGCAGUAAGUUAAUACCUUGCUGUUUUGACGUUACCAACAGAAUAAGCACCGGCUAACUUCGUG
Molecule: ribosomal RNA, 484 nt
Filed under: uncultured bacterium
Lineage: Bacteria
Description: partial 16S ribosomal RNA
Rfam family: Bacterial small subunit ribosomal RNA
Source: RNAcentral